GGAUUGUGGCUCAGCGGUAGAGCACUCCCCUAGCUCGGGCGGGACCCAGGUUCGAUCCUUAGCACCA
This 67-nucleotide transfer RNA is filed under the name Marmota monax (woodchuck). RNAcentral's name for it is "tRNA.Ala". The record is from RNAcentral. Lineage: Eukaryota; Metazoa; Chordata; Mammalia; Rodentia; Sciuridae.